This 471-nucleotide ribosomal RNA is filed under the name uncultured bacterium. RNAcentral's name for it is "bacterial SSU rRNA". It matches the Rfam family "Bacterial small subunit ribosomal RNA", at positions 328 to 793 of the family's 1533-position model. The record is from RNAcentral.
CUCUGUGACUCCUACGGGAGGCAGCAGUGGGGAAUAUUGCACAAUGGGCGCAAGCCUGAUGCAGCCAUGCGCGUGUAUGAAGAAGGCCUUCGGGUUGUAAAGUACUUUCAGCAGUGAGGAAGGCGGAGUCGUUAAUAGCGGCCUCGUUUGACGUUAGCUGCAGAAGAAGCACCGGCUAACUCCGUGCCAGCAGCCGCGGUAAUACGGAGGGUGCGAGCGUUAAUCGGAAUUACUGGGCGUAAAGCGCAUGCAGGUGGUUUGUUAAGUCAGAUGUGAAAGCCCGGGGCUCAACCUCGGAAUUGCAUUUGAAACUGGCAGACUAGAGUACUGUAGAGGGGGUAGAAUUUCAGGUGUAGCGGUGAAAUGCGUAGAGAUCUGAAGGAAUACCGGUGGCGAAGGCGGCCCCCUGGACAGAUACUGACACUCAGAUGCGAAAGCGUGGGGAGCAAACAGGAUUAGAUACCCUGGUAG